This 1469-nucleotide ribosomal RNA is filed under the name uncultured Bordetella sp. RNAcentral's name for it is "partial 16S-23S ribosomal RNA intergenic spacer". It matches the Rfam family "Bacterial small subunit ribosomal RNA". The record is from RNAcentral. Lineage: Bacteria; Pseudomonadati; Pseudomonadota; Betaproteobacteria; Burkholderiales; Alcaligenaceae.
AGAGUUUGAUCCUGGCUCAGAUUGAACGCUGGCGGAUGCUUUACACAUGCAAGUCGAACGGCAGCACGGACUCGGUCUGGUGGCGAGUGGCGAAUGGGUGAGUAAUGUAUCGAACGUGCCUAGUAGCGGGGAUAACUACGAAAGCGUGGCCAAUACCGCAAGGCGCACCGUGUUGGGACCUUCGGGCCUCGCACUAUUAGAGCGGCCGAUAUCGGAUUAGCUAGUUGGUGGGGUAACGGCUCACCAAGGCGACGAUCCGUAGCUGGUUUGAGAGGACGACCAGCCACACUGGACCGAGACACGGCCCAGGACUCCUACGGGAGGUGCAGCAGUGGGGGAAUUUUGACAAUGGGGAAACUCAUCCAGCCAUCCCAUGCGUGCGAUGAAGGCCUUCGGGUUGUAAAGCACUUUUUGCAGGAGUAACGGCAACGUCGAUACACCCCAAAAAAAUCGACGGUACCUGCAAUAGCACUGGCUACUACGCCAGCAGGCUGCGGUAAUGGUCAUUUAGGCGUAAGCGUUAAUCGGAAUUACUGGCGUAAAGCGUGCGGCAGGCGGUUCGGAAAGAAAGAUGUGAACCUAGAGCUUAACUUCGGAACUGUAUUUUUAACUACCGAGCUAGAGGCCGAGGGAGGUGAAUUCCGCGUGUAGCAGGAAUGCGUAGAUAUGCGGAGGAACACCGAUGGCGAAGGCAGCCUCUGGGAUAAGCAACACUGACGCUCAUGCACGAAAGCGUGGGAGCAAACAGGAUUAGAUACCCCUGGUAGUCCACGCCCUAAACGAUGUCAACUAGCUGUUGGGGCCUUUCGGGCCUUGCAGCGCAGCUAACGCGUGAAGUUGACCGCCUGGGGAGUACGGUCGUGAUUAAAACUCCAAAGGAAUUGACGGGACCUGCACAAGCGGAUGAUGUGGAUUAAUUGGAUGCAACGCGAAAACCUUACCUACCCUUGACAUGUCUGGAAUCCCGAAGAGAUUUGGGAGUGCUCGCAAGCAGGAACUGGAACAUAUAGGUGCCUUCGCAUGGCUGUCGUCAGCUCGUGUCGUGAGAUGUUGGGUUAAGUCCCGCAACGAGCGCAACCCCUGUCAUUAGUUGCUACGAAAGGGCACUCUAAUGACUGCCGGUGACAAACCGGAGGAAGGUGGGGAUGACGUCAUGUCCUCAUGGCCCUUAUGGGCAGGGCUUCACACGUCAUACAAUGGUCGGGACAGAGGGUCGCCAACCGCAGGGAGCCAAUCCCAGAAACCCGAUCGUAGUCCGGAUCGCAGUCUGCAACUCGACUGCGUGAAGUCGGAAUCGCUAGUAAUCGCGGAUCAGCAUGUCGCGGUGAAUACGUUCCCGGGUCUUGCAGGCCACACCGCCCGUCACACCAUGGGAGUGGUUUUACCAGAAGUAGUUAGCCUUAACCGUAAGGAGGGCGAUUACAAAGCAGAGAGAUUCAUUAAUUCGGGGUGAAGUCGUAAUAAGGUAG